GAUGAAGAACGUAGCGAAAUGCGAUACUUGGUGUGAAUUGCAGAAUCCCGUGAACCAUCGAGUCUUUGAACGCAAGUUGCGCCUCAAGCCAUUAGGUUGAGGGCACGUCUGCCUGGGCGUCACAUAUCGUUGCCUGAUGCCAGUUUCCUCGUGAUGGGUGACUGUGCAGGGCGAAUGAUGGCUUCCCGUGAGCAUUGUUGCCUCAUGGUUGGUUGAAAAUUGAGUCCUUGGUAGGGAGCGCCGUGAUAGAUGGUGGUUGAGUGACGAACGAGACCCAAUCAUGUGAGACCCCUACCGAAUUUGGCCUUCAUGACCCACAUGCGUCUUUGGAACGCUCAUGACGAGACCUCAGGUCAGGCGGAGCUACCCGCUGAGUUUAAGCAUAUCAAUAAGCGGAGGA
RNAcentral lists this unclassified non-coding RNA (400 nucleotides) under soil metagenome. Its description in RNAcentral is "partial contains 5.8S ribosomal RNA, internal transcribed spacer 2, and large subunit ribosomal RNA". The stretch from base 1 to 122 matches the Rfam family "5.8S ribosomal RNA", at positions 35 to 154 of the family's 154-position model. The record is from RNAcentral.